GAUGAACGCUGGCGGCGUGCCUAAUACAUGCAAGUCGAGCGAACAGACGAGGAGCUUGCUCCUCUGACGUUAGCGGCGGACGGGUGAGUAACACGUGGAUAACCUACCUAUAAGACUGGGAUAACUUCGGGAAACCGGAGCUAAUACCGGAUAAUAUAUUGAACCGCAUGGUUCAAUAGUGAAAGACGGUUUUGCUGUCACUUAUAGAUGGAUCCGCGCCGCAUUAGCUAGUUGGUAAGGUAACGGCUUACCAAGGCAACGAUGCGUAGCCGACCUGAGAGGGUGAUCGGCCACACUGGAACUGAGACACGGUCCAGACUCCUACGGGAGGCAGCAGUAGGGAAUCGGCCGCAAUGGGCGAAAGCCUGACGGAGCAACGCCGCGUGAAUGAUGAAGGUCUUCGGAUCGUAAAACUCUGUUAUUAGGGAAGAACAAAUGUGUAAGUAACUAUGCACGUCUUGACGGUACCUAAUCAGAAAGCCACGGCUAACUACGUG
This 497-nucleotide ribosomal RNA is filed under the name uncultured bacterium. RNAcentral's name for it is "partial 16S ribosomal RNA". It matches the Rfam family "Bacterial small subunit ribosomal RNA", at positions 28 to 507 of the family's 1533-position model. The record is from RNAcentral.